GGGGUCAAAGGCUCAAAGCAGGCUUCUUUUCCUUUCCUAGUUCCGAACCUUAAAACAACUGAAAUCAAUUUCAGUCUUAUUCACACAAACAGUCCUUUAAAGGCGCCGGAUCGGGUGCUAUGGAGGAGGUCAUCGUCUCCAUCGAUCCCAUUUCUCGCCAGGUACGGCAAAUUUGGUGUUUGUUGGUUGAAUUAAUAAAUGGGUUCUAGUUGAAAUACAGUAAUGGACUUUCAUUCUUGCAUAAGUUUGAUAUAUGAUUUGGGUUUUCUUAGGGUAAUUUAGUUGGUAAUUUUGCUCUGUGUGGGCUAAAUAAGUUGGAAUAGACUAAAUCAAGAAAGGGUUGAAGAAAUUUGUAUAAAUUGAUGCUCGAAUUAUUGUCUAGAUAAUUGUUGGUCUUAUUUGAUUUCUUCCUAGUAGCCUUUAGCAUAAUCAUUAUGUGUUAUCUCCUUUAUUUUACAUUCAAAUGUAUUGCUUUGAAGGUGGUUAUGUGAUAAUUGGAUUGGAAUGUAAUAAAAAUAAUGUGGCAUUGGAUGAUGAUCAAGAGACAUAAAUAGAAUGUGAAUGUAAUGUUCUAACAAUAUUCUUAUCCCUUCAAAGCAACCAAUCUAAUUAUCUUUCUACUAAUGGGAUUAUUGAGUUGACACAUCUUUGAUUAUUCAUUAACUUCCAACAAAACACAAGUUAUAAUCUUUUGAUCUAAUUUAGCUCAAGCAUUAUCUCCCACAUGCUCAUGAGUUAUGGAGGCUGUUAUGUUUUUCCUUAAUUCUAGUUGAUUAGUUGUUGAAGAUCAACAAGAAGUUCAUAUUCUCAAUGCCUAUGUUCGAUGGACAAUUUUUUUGCUUUCAAACAUGAUUGUGAAUGGAGUUCCAAAGCAAUGUCAGAAAGAUGAGAAGCAUCUGACUGGCCAAAAUCAAAGAGUUAUCUUAUCUAAUCCCUAGACUGAUCCAAUCUUGAUACGAUUUUCAAGGACACGUCCUAGGAUCAACACAGGUUAAGCAAUCACACAUACACGGGUUUAGGAAUGAGGGGGUUAUGAAUUAUGACACCAAACAAAUAUUAGAGCCUGAAGACUAAAUAGAAGAUAAUUGUGUUUAGGGGAAGAAUCUCAAAUUCCCAUUGAACAUGGCCAAAAGGUUAAUAAAUAGUCUUUGAACUUGCAAUGGGUUCAAGGAGCCUUUAUUUGCAUUCUGUCAAAUUAAAACUAACACUGUUCAAAAGGUUCUAAUGGUGUUUUCCUUUUGGUUUCUGAUGCUUGUAUUGUGGUGUAAACCCGCAGCAUUUGCGACCUUACUUCAGUUUUAAUAAAAGUAGGAAGUUUAGAAAAGUAAAAAACAAACAAAAGUUCUAAUGAUGUUAAAUUUUGACAUUUUGUGUGACGGAUGUGUUGAGGAAUGUUGGCUCCUGCGGUGGUAUGCUUAAUCUGGACCAAACGUCAUGCAGUCCGAUAGAGUAUAUGUUAAGAGGCAAUACAAUUUAGCUGCACCAUACUAUUAUGUUUUGGAGCUUGAAAUCGACGGGAUGAGUGAUAUGGGUUUACAAUUCAAGUUCGAUGGGCACAAAGAGCUCAUGGAAAGUUCAGUGGCAUUUUUUAGUCUUUCGUCUUAGUUCAAUGGCUUUUUUGAACUAUUUCCCUUAUGUUUAUUUUGAGUAGAUAGUUAUAUUCAAGAAAUAUUUUUCAGCUGAUACUUACUGUUUUUCUUUGCCAACUGUAAGUAGUGGAGAAACAAUAAUUUUUUUGUAAAUGGUGAAACUCGCUAAAUAGGAAUCAAAUCUUGGAUCUCCUCUUAAGACAUUCUAUUGCUAGCUUUUGACCCUUUCAAUUAUGUUGUAGAUGAAUAAAUAUGAUUAACUAAAUUUUUUGUUUUGUUAGUGAACCGAGAUUUAAUUAGAGUA
Molecule: long non-coding RNA, 1893 nt
Organism: Impatiens glandulifera
Lineage: Eukaryota; Viridiplantae; Streptophyta; Magnoliopsida; Ericales; Balsaminaceae
Exons: 2
Source: RefSeq, a predicted model, not a curated record